Molecule: long non-coding RNA, 112 nt
Organism: Maniola jurtina (meadow brown)
Lineage: Eukaryota; Metazoa; Arthropoda; Insecta; Lepidoptera; Nymphalidae
Exons: 2
Source: RefSeq, a predicted model, not a curated record
AACAUGUAGAGUUCUGUCAUCGGUGUUAAUCGUGUAGGUGAGUAUUUGUAAAAUAAAAGGCUAUAUUUUUCAUUCUCUGCUAUCAGUCGAAUACCUACUCAACUAUUUUGUU